GGUGACCCCAGGAGGACGUGCCCGGGCCCCACGAGGGCGGGAAGGCCUGGUGCGCGAGCCCGCGGUGCGGAGGCUGCCGGAGGGCCUGGGCGGCCUCUGGGGCAAGGACUUCCCAACUUGGCUCAACGCAGAAAACACGAAGCAUAAACCCCUGCACUUUGGCUUGGGCAAACCAAACAAACGAGAGUGGCAGUGGCAGUGAUCCCAGUCGGGAGCCACCACCCCACUCACCAGACCUCUCACGACUCCCGGCGCAGCAGAUGCAGUUCUGGAGGCUGCGGGGUCCAAGACUGAGGCAGUGGCAGAUUCAGUGUUUGCUGAGAGCCCACGUUCGGGGUCACAGACCGCGCUCUUGCACCGUGACCCCUCAUGGCAGAAGGGGUAAGGGAAUCCCCCAGGACCUGCUUCCACUCGCGAGGGCUCCAUCCUCAGGACCUAAGCACCUCCCGGAGAUCUGCCUCUAAAAGCCAUCACACUGGGGUCACCCUUCAACAUGUGAAUUGUGGGAAGAACACAAACACUCAAUCUAUGGCAAACCAUACGUAUGUGCCUGUGUCCGAACUCCUCUACCUACACAAACAGGCAUUUCAUAUCAGUCAACUCAGUGGGUGUGCAGCCAACUGUUCGGAGAACGUAGAAGUCCCUUGUUGGCCUUUGCUCUUCUCUUAGCCUUCCCCCCACCCACGGCCAACUGAUUCAACUUUGCUUCCUUGCGAUUUGCUUCAAGACCCCAUAGGGGAAAACCAUAGACAUUUCUGAUUAAUAGAUCAUGUUAAAUUUGUCCGGGUUAAUUAGGGCUCACGUAUGUGUGGUAGCUAUGAAAUAUUUUAUUCUCCAGGCAUCAGCUGGAGUUGGUGCUAACUGAUCCUCUAACGACCUGGGAAAUUCAAGGUGUUCACAUUUCAAAUAAAGGUAAACAGCCAGUAUGAUAAA
Molecule: long non-coding RNA, 933 nt
Organism: Canis lupus familiaris (dog)
Lineage: Eukaryota; Metazoa; Chordata; Mammalia; Carnivora; Canidae
Exons: 2
Source: RefSeq, a predicted model, not a curated record